This 253-nucleotide ribosomal RNA is filed under the name Segatella copri DSM 18205. RNAcentral's name for it is "Prevotella copri DSM 18205 partial 16S ribosomal RNA". It matches the Rfam family "Bacterial small subunit ribosomal RNA", at positions 524 to 776 of the family's 1533-position model. The record is from RNAcentral. Lineage: Bacteria; Pseudomonadati; Bacteroidota; Bacteroidia; Bacteroidales; Prevotellaceae.
UACGGAAGGUCCGGGCGUUAUCCGGAUUUAUUGGGUUUAAAGGGAGCGCAGGCCGUGGGCUAAGCGUGCCGUGAAAUUCUGUCGCUCAACGGCAGACGUGCGGCGCGAACUGGUCCACUUGAGUACGCGGGACGUUGGCGGAAUUCGUGGUGUAGCGGUGAAAUGCUUAGAUAUCACGAAGAACUCCGAUUGCGAAGGCAGCUGACGGUAGCGCAACUGACGCUGAGGCUCGAAAGCGCGGGUAUCGAACAGG